This 403-nucleotide ribosomal RNA is filed under the name uncultured bacterium. RNAcentral describes it as "bacterial SSU rRNA". It matches the Rfam family "Bacterial small subunit ribosomal RNA", at positions 975 to 1375 of the family's 1533-position model. The record is from RNAcentral.
CAGCUCUUGACAUUCGGGGUAUGGGCAUUGGAGACGAUGUCCUUCAGUUAGGCUGGCCCCAGAACAGGUGCUGCAUGGCUGUCGUCAGCUCGUGUCGUGAGAUGUUGGGUUAAGUCCCGCAACGAGCGCAACCCUCGCCCUUAGUUGCCAGCAUUUAGUUGGGCACUCUAAGGGGACUGCCGGCGAUAAGUCGAGAGGAAGGUGGGGAUGACGUCAAGUCCUCAUAGCCCUUACGGGCUGGGCUACACACGUGCUACAAUGGUGGUGACAGUGGGCAGCGAGACCGCGAGGUCGAGCUAAUCUCCAAAAGCCAUCUCAGUUCGGAUUGCACUCUGCAACUCGAGUGCAUGAAGUUGGAAUCGCUAGUAAUCGCGGAUCAGCAUGCCGCGGUGAAUACGUUCCC